CCUACGGGUGGCAGCAGUGAGGAAUAUUGGUCAAUGGACGCGAGCCUGAACCAGCCAAGUCGCGUGAAGGAUGACUGCCCUAUGGGUUGUAAACUUCUUUUAUCUGGGAACAAAACACGCCACGCAUACCGUUCCAUAAGUACCCUAAGAAUAAGCAUCGGCUAACUCCGUGCCAGCAGCCGCGGUAAUACGGAGGAUCCGAGCGUUAUCCGGAUUUAUUGGGUUUAAAGGGGGCGCAGGCGGAAUGUUAAGUCAGUGGUUAAAUUUGGGGGGUCAACCUUAUAGAAGCCGUUGAAACUGGCAGUCUUGAGUAAGUGAGAGGUAGGCGGAAUUCGUGGUGUAGCGGUGAAAUGCAUAGAUAUCACGAAGAACUCCGAUUGCGAAGGCAGCACACCGGAGUGCAACUGACACUGAUGCUCGAAAGUGUGGGUAUCGAACAGGAUUAGAUACCCGGGUAGUC
RNAcentral lists this ribosomal RNA (460 nucleotides) under uncultured bacterium. Its description in RNAcentral is "partial 16S ribosomal RNA". It matches the Rfam family "Bacterial small subunit ribosomal RNA", at positions 338 to 795 of the family's 1533-position model. The record is from RNAcentral.